This 1403-nucleotide ribosomal RNA is filed under the name uncultured bacterium. Its description in RNAcentral is "16S ribosomal RNA". It matches the Rfam family "Bacterial small subunit ribosomal RNA". The record is from RNAcentral.
AGAGUUUGAUCCUGGCUCAGGAUGAACGCUAGCGAUAGGCUUAACACAUGCAAGUCGAGGGGCAGCGGGGGUGAUGGCUUGCCAUCACCUGCCGGCGACCGGCGCACGGGUGAGUAACACGUAUGCAACCUGCCCGCCACAGGGGGAUAAGCGGAAGAAAUUCCGUCUAAUACCGCGUGACGCGGCGUCGGGGCAUCCCGGUGCCGCCAAAGGGAUUACCGGUGGCGGAUGGGCAUGCGGCGCAUUAGCUAGUCGGCGGGGUAACGGCCCACCGAGGCGACGAUGCGUAGGGGUUCUGAGAGGAAGGUCCCCCACACUGGUACUGAGACACGGACCAGACUCCUACGGGAGGCAGCAGUGAGGAAUAUUGGUCAAUGGGCGGGAGCCUGAACCAGCCAAGUCGCGUGAGGGAUGACGGUCCUACGGAUUGUAAACCUCUUUUGCCGGGGAGCAAGCGUGCGUUCGUGAACGCGCGUCGAGAGUACCCGGAGAAAAAGCAUCGGCUAACUCCGUGCCAGCAGCCGCGGUAAUACGGAGGAUGCGAGCGUUAUCCGGAUUUAUUGGGUUUAAAGGGUGCGUAGGCGGGAUGCCAAGUCAGCGGUAAAAAUGCGGUGCUCAACGCCGUCGAGCCGUUGAAACUGGCGUUCUUGAGUGGGCGAGAAGUAUGCGGAAUGCGUGGGGUAGCGGUGAAAUGCAUAGAUAUCACGCAGAACUCCGAUUGCGAAGGCAGCAUACCGGCGCCCUACUGACGCUGAGGCACGAAAGCGUGGGUAUCGAACAGGAUUAGAUACCCUGGUAGUCCACGCAGUAAACGAUGAAUGCUAACUGUCCGGUGCGAGUGAGCGCUGGGCGGUACAGCGAAAGCGUUAAGCAUUCCACCUGGGGAGUACGCCGGCAACGGUGAAACUCAAAGGAAUUGACGGGGGCCCGCACAAGCGGAGGAACAUGUGGUUUAAUUCGAUGAUACGCGAGGAACCUUACCCGGGCUCAAACGCAGGAUGACGGGUCCCGAAAGGGGCCUUUCUUCGGACAUUCUGCGAGGUGCUGCAUGGUUGUCGUCAGCUCGUGCCGUGAGGUGUCGGCUUAAGUGCCAUAACGAGCGCAACCCCUGUCCACAGUUGCCAGCAGGUAAAGCUGGGGACUCUGUGGAGACUGCCGGCGCAAGCUGCGAGGAAGGCGGGGAUGACGUCAAAUCAGCACGGCCCUUACGUCCGGGGCGACACACGUGUUACAAUGGCAGGUACAGCGGGAUGCCACGGGGCGACCCGGCGCUGAACCCGAAAACCUGUCUCAGUUCGGAUUGGAGUCUGCAACCCGACUCCAUGAAGCUGGAUUCGCUAGUAAUCGCGCAUCAGCCACGGCGCGGUGAAUACGUUCCCGGGCCUUGCACACACCGCCCGUCA